Canis lupus familiaris (dog) is the source of this 882-nucleotide long non-coding RNA. RefSeq lists it as uncharacterized. The transcript is spliced from 6 exons. NCBI's taxonomy places the organism in Eukaryota, Metazoa, Chordata, Mammalia, Carnivora, Canidae. The record is from RefSeq and is a predicted model, not a curated record.
AGAAAAUAAUGGAAACAAUAAACAUUCUUAAGAGGAAAGCUGAUUAAAUUGUGGUACAUCCAGGGAAAACGGUGCCCUAUAGUGAGAUUCCCAGGAAGCAUCACUUUUCCUGAUAAGGACUACGAUGGCUGAGACUGAAUGUUUACAAGAACAGUUGUUGCCUCAGGAAGACUACACCCUGGAACAUCCUCACUCAGAAAACAAUCACAGGAUGUAGAAGCCACCAGAAGGCAGGGAAGCUCUUACAAUAUGUUGAGGAGAAGGUUGUUCUUCAAGCAAGUGUGUCCCAAGGACCUUCUCAGCAACACUAGGAGAUAAUAAAACAUUCAGGUAAAACUACCAGUGCUGCCAAGAUGAGCUCUAUAACCAAGGGGACUUCCAAGUGCCUCAGGAAUCCUCAGUACCCAAUGGCAUUAAGUGUCCUGCCUGCUACAACGUGUAUGAUGUUUCCUGCGACCCAGUUCUUCUUGCCUGCACUGGUACAGAGACAAAGCGUGUGGAAGUUAUUGGCAUAGAUCAACUCUGAUACAACAUGGGAGAAGAGUAUACAAGGACAUGAAUACUAAGAGAUCGCAGGCCAUCCUAGAGACUAACUACUAUGUACAGCAAAGGCUGAUACAGGGCCAAGUCCUAGUUCACUCUCCAAAGUUUGGAGGGAGCCAUCUGUCAGAAGAGAGAAGGGGGAGAGGAGAGGACGAGGAGAGGAGAGGGAAGAUGAAGAGAACACAACUGCUUUCCACAGGAAAGUCUGACACUUGGGAACAUGUCAUAUCAUGAUCUCCUCGAAUGGGAACUUGGGUCAUUGGCCAUCACCCUCUUCAACAAAGAGGGUGAUACCUCAGUUCUGGUUUUUUUCAUCACUACCAUUAUUGCUAUUACCCA